This 363-nucleotide unclassified non-coding RNA is filed under the name uncultured bacterium. Its description in RNAcentral is "contains 16S-23S intergenic spacer region". The record is from RNAcentral.
UCCCUGUUACCAGGGCAGUCUGUUUAGAAAAAUCCAACUAAACAUAAGGGUUGCGCUCGUUACGGGACUUAACCCGACAUCUCACGACACGAGCUGACGACGGCCAUGCAUCACCUGUCACUGGAUUCCCGAAGGCACAGUCUCCUUUCGGAGACCUUCCCAGGAUGUCAAACCUUGGUAAGGUUAUCGUUUACCAUCGAAUUAAACCACACGCUCCACCGCUUGUGCGGGUCCCCGUCAAUUCCUUUGAGUUUUAAACUUGCGUUCGUACUACUCAGGCGGGAUGCUUAACGCGUUAGCUUCGCUUCGGAGGGGGUCGAUUCCCCCCAAUAGCUAGCAUCCAUAGUUUACGGCGUGGACUAC